UCCAUACAUUGAGAAGCAAGAUGGAAGAGAGCAUUGAGAUGGUUUCGAGAACAGGAGUGAAACAAAUUAUGCAUGAGAUGCUUUGGCCUCUGGUGCUUCGGUACAUAAUUCCACAAAUAAUUUCCAAAUAUGUGUCAUGGCUUGCAACAUUGAAGUAAGUUUUACACGAUAUUCAUUUCUGUAUAUUCUUCUUUGAACUUACAGUACAUAUCUUCUAGUUGAGCUCACUUGACAGACAAAGGAUGAUAAGAAAAAGGUAGCAAUAAAAGAUCAUUUUUUCUUCUCAGUGUGACUCCAAAUUCUUCAGUCAUAUCCAAUUCUUCACUUCUGAUUCCACUUGGAAGUUUCCAGUCAAAAUGAUACAACAACAUUGCAAGGGCCUGCUCAAUAUUUCUUAAUCCAAAUAUGGUCCCUGGGCAUAUUCUUCUUCCAGCCCCAAAAGGAAUGUACUCAAAAUUACUUCCUUUAUAGUCAAUAGAGCUAUCAAUGAAUCUCUCGGGAUAAAACUUUUCUGGUUCAGUCCAGUAGUUUGGAUCUCUUGCAAUUGCCCAAACAUUAAUCAUCACCCUAGUCUGAAUCGGAAUGUGAUAACCAUUUAUAUCACAUGCUUGACCACAUUCUCUUACUAUAAGAGCUGCUGGGGGGUGUAGCCUUAAGGUUUCUUUGACUACUGAUUUCAAAUAAUCGAGUUCAAUGAUGCAAUUUUCAUCAACCCUUCCUUUCAGUUUGAAAAGCUCUCUCACCUCAGCUUGUGCUUUCUUCAUUAUUCUUGGAUCUCUUACCAUUUCUACCAUUGCCCAAUCUAUGGUGUUUGCGGAUGUCUCGCUUCCAGCACCAAACAUGUCCUGAAAAGUAGCUACAAUAAGGUCGAGCUAAUUCAUGGAUGUUUAAAAAGAUACUCAUGCAGUGAUAGAGAGAAGAUAGAAUGAUAUAUUUUCAGAAAGAAGAAAAAAAAAUGAAAACCGUAUUUUGACGAUUCCAAAAUUUCUUAAAUUGCUGAAUCUGUUUUCAAAAAUUGUAAAUGAAAAUUAUAAGAGAAUUUCUGACUCUAUAUUCUAUCAUGUUUAGUAGUUGAAGUGAAUAUAAAAAUCAGAAAAUGGAAAUCAAAUUAUAAAUAUCAUCCGAUACUACAAAGUACAAAAAUCACGGGCAACAUAUUUAACAGCUGUAAAGAUUUCAUAUGGAGGUAUAGCUUGGACAGGUUUUAAAGAUUUAAAUUAAGUUUAAAAAGUUUUUUCUUCUUCACAGUGUUUGAAAGGGGUUAAUAUGCUUACCAUGAUUAUGGCCUUGAUAUUGUCUUUUGUUAAGGAAAAAUCCUGGUUGCUACCAUCCUCAUAAUUUAAGAGAACGUCUACCAGAUCUUCUUCUACACCUUGAUCAUCUUUGCCUUUGGCGUAUUUUGCCACUUUAUGGUCAUUGAUGAUGUUUUCAAAUAUCUGAUCAGUUUGUCGAUGAAAACUCUCAAGCUUAGACCUCAAACCAGUAACAUGUUGUAGCCAUUUAGCAGAAGGAAACAAAUCUCCCAAGUUAAAACCUGCUGAAACCUUUAUUGAUUGUUUUACCACUGAUAUAAAUUUUUCUUGCUCUUUACAUUUACUGCCAAAGGCUGCCCUUGAAACAAUUGUGUAUAUUGAUGAAAUUACAGCUUCAGUGAAAUUUAUUGGCGAUCCAUUCUGUGAAGCAACCCAUUUAACAAGAUUGGAGAGCACCUCUUCUCUAAUUGGUUGGUACGAGUUUACUCUUUUUAAGCUUAAAAGCUCUGAUGUGCAUAUUUUUCGUAACUGUCUCCAAUAAUUACCAUAAGGAGAGAAAGCUAUAUUUGUGUUAUUGUAAGUCAUUAUUUCUGUAGCUAGGAUUUGAGGCCUUGUUGCAAAGUGAAUAUCAUGGGUUUUCAUCACCUCGCUAGCACACUCGGGUGAUGAAAUGACGAUUGUUGAAACCUCUCCAAGUUGAAGAUGCAUUACAGGUCCAUAUUUUUUGGCCAAGUCUCUUAAUUUCUGAUGGGGUUGAGAGCUUAUUAGAUUGUGUAUAUUUCCUAUAAUAGGUAGCUUUCUAGGCCCUCGUGGUAUGAUAUACUUUGAGUUACUUUUCUUCUUUCUUAUAAUCUUUUGUAUGGUAAGGGUUAAAAGGACAACCGAGAAAAGAUAUGCAAAGUAGAGUACUAACAGAGCCAUGGCAGUAUGAGAUAUAUCCUACUCGCCAGUGUCUAUAUAUAUACAUCUUACACAUUAUUGAUUACUUAGCUUCAGCUGAAUGUCCUUGUACAUUUUCUGUUUUGUUUUAUGCCCUGUCAUCAUCGUCAAUUUGUCCUAUGUUUGAUAUUUUCUCCAUAUUGAAAGGAACAAUAUAGUUUUUAAAAGGCCCUCUUGGUAUAUCUUCUAUUUAAAAUUUUGAACCCGACAUCAUUGUCUUAUCUCAAAAUCACGAGUUUGAAAUCGAUGUCCUUGUCCUUCAAAAUGAAUGAAAAAAUUGAAAGAACCAAUAUACUUUUUAAAAGGCUAUUGUUUGUUAAUUCCGUACAGUCGGCCAGAGAAUCAAAUGCAUAUAUAUAUACAUGAUAGUACUCUAUUAUAAUAUUAAAGAUAUAGCAAGAAGUCCACAGUGCGUGAAUGAUUUUCAGUUUCCUUUUGUCAUUCUUCAAUAGUUUUGUUAGCAAGUUGAGAUUUUGUUUUUUUAUUCUAUAAAUUUUGUCUUACAAGAGCAAUUUGUUAAUAUUUUGAUUUAUUUGGGAUCUGUUAGAGUAUUUAAAAAUGCAUGUCAGUGUUAGCUGAAUAUUCAAUUGGCUCUACAUUUUCAGGUUCAUACUUCCACAAAUUAUAGCCUUCUUAAAACUGACGAUAGUUAUCUUCUAUUUAAGGCAAAGGAUGAUCAGAAAAAGGUAAUAAUAAAAGGUCAUCUUUUCUUCUCAUUGUGACUCCAAAUUCCUCAGUCAUGUGCAAUUCUUCACUUUUGAUUCCAUUCGGAAGUUUCCAAUCAAAAUGAUACAACAAUGUUGCAAGAGUCAGCUCAACAUUUCACAAAAAUGCAGUAGUGAAUUAAAUCACGAAUGAUCAUGUGUUUUGAACUGUUUUAUCAUGCAUUGAGAAGCAAGAUUGAACAGAGCAUUGAAAUGGUUCUGAGAAAAGGAGAGAAACGAAUUACGCAAGAGCUGCUCAGUCGUAUGGUUCCUUGGUUCAUGCUUCCACAAAUUAUGUUCAAAGAUGCGUCAUAGCCUACAACAUUGAAGUAUAUGUUUGGUCACACCUAUUCUUCUGAUUCCAUUGCCUCCCUAAUCCGGCAGAUCUUGAUGUUCUACACAAUUACCUUAUUGAAAUAUUCCAAUCCUUUACCAAAAUAGGCUCAUACAUCCACAAAUGAUGUCCAAAUAUGUGUCAUGGUUUACAACAUUGAAAUGCACCCUCUCAAGUUUAGGCCUUAAACCAGUGAAAUAAUGCAGCCAUGUAAUAGAAGGAAACAAAUCUGCU
Long non-coding RNA from Trifolium pratense (red clover), 3464 nucleotides. RefSeq lists it as uncharacterized. The record is from RefSeq and is a predicted model, not a curated record. NCBI's taxonomy places the organism in Eukaryota, Viridiplantae, Streptophyta, Magnoliopsida, Fabales, Fabaceae. The transcript has 7 exons.